UUCCGGCAUUGCUUAACAAGUAGUCACCAAGAUCCUAUCCACGUCUAAGAUUGUCACAUAAAGUCAGUGACUCAACAUCUUCUAUGUCAGGUAAACCAAGGAGCAGCUUACUUACUAGCUUUGUUCAAGUGGCUGUCGUCGCCAUAAAGAAUCAGAAACCCUGUGUUCCUGAUUCAAACUUUGAUCAGUAUUAUCAAGGCAAUGAUAAAGAGCUGGUGUUUUCAACGGAUAGCCUAAGGUUUUUGAACAAAGCUUGCAUAAUAAAAAACCCAGAGAAUGACUUAAAUCCAGAUCAUUCAAUCAAAGAUCCAUGGAGCCUAUGCACCGUAGGACAAGUUGAGUAGCUGAAAUCGUUGCUUCAAGUCCUUCCCAUGUGGACUACCGGCAUCUUCAUGAUGGUUUUCCUGAGCUCCUUCUCCACUCUCCAAGCAAACACUAUAGACACAAAAUUACUACAUAGGAAGAUCGUUAUGAUGACACGAACUUGUAGGCGAGGAUAAUCCAGUGAAGCAGGUGAAUUUCAGAUAUAGAGAUAGAAGUUACAUGGGGGAAUGUUGAAGAGGAGAGAGUGGUCAGAGAUAGAAAAGCUUUCCUGCUGUAGAGUCGAUUUGUUGAUAUCUCGAUAUUCAUGGCCAUCAAGGCAAUACAGCAUGUCAUGGAAUCCAAUAUAAAGAAUGAAUCAAAUUCUCCAAAUUCAAUUAUGCAUGAAGAGCGCGUAGGAGACUUGUCAGUUGUUGUCAAAUGCGAUAUUCGCAAUGGAAAUAGAGUUUAAGUACUAUAAGUAUUUUUUUCUCAUUUUAUUUGCAUCAUGAAGCAAACUUAUACAAUGAUUAUUAAUUAAUAAAAGA
This is a non-coding RNA of Arachis ipaensis, 848 nucleotides long. Lineage: Eukaryota; Viridiplantae; Streptophyta; Magnoliopsida; Fabales; Fabaceae. The record is from RefSeq and is a predicted model, not a curated record.